GCUCUGUUUGUUGUUGUUUGUUUUAGUUUGGUUCUGUUUUUUUGCCAUCCCCGUAGCAUGAAGAAGUUCCUGGGCCAGGGAUCAAACCUGAGCCACAGCAGUGACGACGCCUGAUCCUUAACCUGCUGCACCACUAGGGAACUCUUCAACUUGCUCUUUUCUAAAAGCAGUACAUCUUGGAAAUCUUGACAGUCAGACCCUCUAGAUCUGGGAGACCCCCUUUCCCUCCAGAGAACCAGGAGGAAGCUGAGGGGCAGAGCUGCCGGCACCUGGGACAAGGUAAGGAAGGAGUGCCUGGCAGGGUUGGGACAGCCCCUCCCUCCUUCCCCGUCCCCCUUCUCAUCAGCAUCUCGACACCCACCCUGGAGAGCUGAGUCUCACUGCGUGUGUGAGUGGUGAGGCUGGAUGAAGAGGGUGGGUGCGUGGGCGUGUCCAGGGCUGUGCUGCUGACCCCACCUCCCCCCACUGUCCAUACUUAGAGCCAGCGGCCACGGCCAGUAUAAUUAGUUCAUAAAUCACUCCGAGUGAUAAAUAGAAUGAUAGAUGCAGGUUUCACUUGAUCACUUUUUUAUUAAGGAGAAAUAAAUCAACACCACAUUGUUGCUAUAAACCUUUC
RNAcentral lists this long non-coding RNA (616 nucleotides) under Sus scrofa (pig). RNAcentral's name for it is "lncRNA (ENSSSCG00035063053.1)". Lineage: Eukaryota; Metazoa; Chordata; Mammalia; Artiodactyla; Suidae. The record is from RNAcentral.